RNAcentral lists this ribosomal RNA (346 nucleotides) under uncultured bacterium. RNAcentral's name for it is "partial 16S ribosomal RNA". It matches the Rfam family "Bacterial small subunit ribosomal RNA", at positions 338 to 681 of the family's 1533-position model. The record is from RNAcentral.
CCUACGGGUGGCAGCAGUGAGGAAUAUUGGUCAAUGGGCUUACGCCUGAACCAGCCAAGUCGCGUGAGGGAAGACUGCCCUAUGGGUUGUAAACCUCUUUUGUCAGGGAGCAAGUGGCGCUACGUGUAGCGUUAUCGAGAGGACCUGAAGAAAAAGCAGCGGCUAACGCCGUGCCAGCAGCCGCGGUAAUACGGAGGAUGCGAGCGUGAUCCGGAUUGAGUGGGGUUCAAGGGUGCGUAGGCGGAAGGCCAAGGCCGCGGUAAAAUCGCGGGGCGCAACCUCGCUCCGCCGUUGAAACGGGCGUUCUUGAGUGGGCGAGCAGUAUGCGGUCUGCGUGGUGUAGCGG